This is a long non-coding RNA of Corticium candelabrum, 379 nucleotides long. RefSeq lists it as uncharacterized. The transcript is spliced from 3 exons. The record is from RefSeq and is a predicted model, not a curated record. Lineage: Eukaryota; Metazoa; Porifera; Homoscleromorpha; Homosclerophorida; Plakinidae.
AUUCCGAUCGCUGCUUGUUAUUCAACAUUUGAGCAUUGCCAGACAAAGUUACCAGAGCCAUGUGAACGAAGACUAUCCGAUCAGAGCGGAAGCCUCAGCCACGAGGCAGACAAAAGCCAACCUUUACAGCCACCAAAAAGGCCGAAAACGAACCAGAAGAGAAUUCGGAGAAGCAGCAUGAGAACGAGAAGCAGAGGCCACGAGUCAGAUAGUCCAGCCGACGAGGAUUCGAGAGAAAGCUUUGCUGAUUUGGAGUCUGAACUGAUUGCGAUGGUCGCGUUCGAUGAGAAAUGCAUCGUUCCCAACACACCACCACCAGCAAACACGACAGAAGAAACCGUCACAAAGGCUGUCAAUGUAGAUCAAUGUGAGCAAAAUG